This 438-nucleotide ribosomal RNA is filed under the name uncultured bacterium. RNAcentral's name for it is "bacterial SSU rRNA". It matches the Rfam family "Bacterial small subunit ribosomal RNA", at positions 338 to 793 of the family's 1533-position model. The record is from RNAcentral.
CCUACGGGAGGCAGCAGUGGGGAAUAUUGCACAAUGGGCGCAAGCCUGAUGCAGCGACGCCGCGUGAGCGAAGAAGUAUUUCGGUAUGUAAAGCUCUAUCAGCAGGGAAGAAAAUGACGGUACCUGACUAAGAAGCUCCGGCUAAAUACGUGCCAGCAGCCGCGGUAAUACGUAUGGAGCAAGCGUUAUCCGGAAUUACUGGGUGUAAAGGGAGCGUAGACGGAUGUGCAAGUCUGAUGUGAAAGGCGGGGGCUCAACCCCUGGACUGCAUUGGAAACUGUAAAUCUUGAGUGCCGGAGAGGUAAGCGGAAUUCCUAGUGUAGCGGUGAAAUGCGUAGAUAUUAGGAGGAACACCAGUGGCGAAGGCGGCUUACUGGACGGUAACUGACGUUGAGGCUCGAAAGCGUGGGGAGCAAACAGGAUUAGAUACCCCUGUAG